AUGGAGAGGAGUUGGGGAUCAUUGGUGUCAAGGAGGCUUGUGGACUCUUGCUCAUCUACCAAACAAAGAUGUUUGAUGAAAUGUUCCCUUCUGCUAUGGGGUGAUUCCAGCAGGAAGAGGCAGACUCCUAAGCAGCAUAGUCUCACUCAGAGCUGUCACUUGUGGCUGAGCCAUCACAGAACACUGUUUGACUUCUCCCGGCCUUUUGAAAUCUUACUGUCUGCAAGGAGUCUUACAAUACAAGGCUUCCUUACUCUGUGGCUGAACUCAGCACCCAAUCUAUGUAGCCCAGCUAUCAGCUUCUCAGGGUCCUAAUGAGAAACAAACGAGGAAAUCAAACACUCGAGCGUUGACCAAACAGACCAGAAUCUGGAAUUACUCUGAAUCUUUACAAGUGUUUAGAACCACUUCACUGGUGAUGUGAAUUUGUCAUCCUGUAUCAAACGUCUGGGGACACUGUCGGCCAGUAAAGCUCCACUCAGAUCUCAGAGAAGAAAGGAAAGGUCAAUCUUUCAAGGAAAAUUUAGGAACAUAUUUAGAAACAAGGAAUAGUUCCACACUAGGAAAUACAUAGAUGUAUUACUCAUACAAAAAGUAAAUUUAAAUCCCCUACUACAUACUUGUAAGUUUAUACAUGCUGAUCAUCAACCAGCAUCUUUCGCGAGUCUCUUCUAUUGAACUCACUACAAAUAAAUAAGCUGAAGGGCAACUUCUGAAAGACUGUGAACAUGUGUGUUUUUCUAUAUAGUUGACUGGGUAGGUUUUUACCUAGCUCUACACAGUAUUUAACACCAGAUUAUAGAUUAGCUUCUCAGAGGAAAUAACUGUACACAUUUAUUAUAUAUAAUACAAUAGUCAUUCACAGAAGACCCCCAUUGUACCUGACAACAAUGAACCCAGUCCCUGGAAUCAAGAAACUAUACAUCAGAAACAACUCAAAUGGCCUUCAACAACUGUUAAAAAGAUGAACCCUCUAUGGUACAUUCAUGCAAUGAAAUACUACUCAGCAAUGAGAAAGAACAAACUGUUGAUACACCCAACAAUACAGAUGAAGAUCAAAUUCAUUAUGCUAGUAAAAAGAAGCCAGACAGAAGAAAGCUGCAUACGGUAUAAUUCCAUUUAUAUGACAUUCUCUAAAAGGCAAAACUACAGGAACUGGAAAUAGAUCAGCAGUUUCCAGGAUUUCAGGAUAUUGAGAGGCACUGACUACAAAGGGCACCACAUAGAAGUUUUGGGGGGAGAUGGAACUCUUCUGUUUCCUGCUUGUGGUCAUGAUUACAUUACUCUACACAUUGGUAAAACUCAAAGAAUUGAUAGCCCUGAAAAAGUGAAUUUUACUGUAUUUAAACUAAAAAUUAAAAGCAUAAAAGCUUCAUAUAAUUUAUUUCUUAUCCUCUUGUAUUCAAGAAGAAGAAUUGUCUUUCAAAUAUUCCUAUUAAACUCCUGCUCAUCCCUUUGAAGAACUUACCCAUAUGAUAAAGCCUCCUUCUCUUCCAGGAGUAGCCUCCAUGCUAGAGUUGGCACGCAUUCUUCCCCAGCAAGCUCUAAUUCUUUCAUUACAUAGUUAUGUACCAACAAAUUUCAUCAUGGGGAGGAUAAUUGCAUGUUAAUCAAUAUUAAUAUUACAUUAAUAUCACAUGUAUUCUUUUACAAUUUGCUUUUUUCGUUCAAUAUUGCUUUUAAGAUAGUCCAUUCAGAAAGAGUAUUUCAGUGUAGGAAUAUGCCAAUACAUUAAUUCACUGCACUCUUGACAGAUAUUUAACACUCCAUGUUACACUGCGCCACAUUUAUCUGUUAUUAUAUCUCUUCUUCUUGCAAAGAAAUGAGCAACUCCAGAACAGAAAGCACCCAGCAUUCCUCUUCCUUUCCCUAAUUUCUGGUACAGCUGCAAAGCACUGCCUGCCUAAUGUAUUUUGCACGGAAAAAGAUGCUGUGUACCUGGCACACAAUAAGUACCACUCCAUAAAAAUGUAUUGAAAGAAUAAAAGCUGACAAAAUGUUAUUUUAACUCUUGUGCUCUCUACUCACUUCUCCACUGUGUAAGAUUUAAGGGGGAACUGACUCAAUUCUCACCAAAAAUCCCUUAGUAUUCCAGUGUGGACGUAGAGAUCUAUGAAACAAGGUCACUUCACAAUUCUCUUGCACAGAGGAUCUCAAAGCACUACACAAACCGUGAUUUUCUCCAGUGAUUUUUUCCUCUCAAUGUGCCUCAAGGUCAGUUCAGAGCAGUAUUCAAAGCUUGAAUACUCUUCAGCAGCUGUAAAGGGCCGGGAAAUCAGAGUCUGGAUGUAAAUAGCAGUAACAAACUAUUCUCAGGUCUUUUUUUUUUUUUUUUCCUGGAGGAAUUUUUUUCUUAUCUUUUCUUUUCACGGGUCCCCGUUUGCGCUCUUAGUGGCUUACCGGUCCUGUUUCAGGAGCAGGUCUUGGGCCACCACUCCGCCCCGCCCCCGUCUCCACUCCUCACUCUCUCUCCCGGCUCCUAUUAAUCAGAUCUAACGCUGGGUGAUCUCCUCUCCAGGUGUUCGUGGUUUCAUUGUAGCCUUGAUGUACAAGACAAAUGCACACUGUACUCUGGGCUUACAAAACCAUCUAUCAUCAUCGUCUGGACAUGACCAAUACAUAGUAUGUUUCAGAGAAAUUAAUCUGGUGUUUAGGGGGAGAAAGGCAUUUUCAACUCAGUCUCCAUGCAGAACCUUCCCGCAAACCCUGCAGCGGCAUUUUUCGACACUUUUCUCCUCUGUUUGGCAAGCCUGAAACUUGACCUUCGAGAGAAUUUUUAAGGGUACAGCCUUCCUCCCUUUCCCUCGUCUGCUCCAAGAGUGCUCGCAGGCCUUCUUCUGGGAAGCAGCUGCUCUGGACCAGAGCUGGGAGAACCGCACCUCCAGGAGCGCGGGCGCGGUCGGGGAAGGGGGAGGCGGCGGCUGCGUUGCGGGGAAGGGAGGAGGCUGCAGGAGGGGGCAGGAGGUGGACGGAGGAGGAGGAUCGGUCUGCAUAUGCAUAAGGCACCCAGCACUGCCCUCUUCCCCGGCAGCUGCUCGGGCGGGGGCGAGGGAAGGAAGGGGAGGUGAUGGGAGGAAAUGAGGCUGGGGCUGGGCGGCCAGGACAGCCGCUGAGGCGGACGCGGGUUUGGAGAACGGAAGAGGUGAUUUGCAUGGCGCCUGGUGAUUGGCUGCAGGCUGGGGGCUGGGCCUGAGAGGCGGCCCCUGAAUGGUUUAACGGAGGAAAUUACAAGAUUCAUUCGACUAAAGAAAGCCGGGGCGGGCCUGGUCGGCGCGAUAUGCAGCCUGUCCGCAAGGGGGCGAGAUGGCC
Long non-coding RNA from Callithrix jacchus (white-tufted-ear marmoset), 3309 nucleotides. The record is from Ensembl. NCBI's taxonomy places the organism in Eukaryota, Metazoa, Chordata, Mammalia, Primates, Cebidae.